RNAcentral lists this ribosomal RNA (492 nucleotides) under uncultured bacterium. RNAcentral's name for it is "partial 16S ribosomal RNA". It matches the Rfam family "Bacterial small subunit ribosomal RNA", at positions 29 to 507 of the family's 1533-position model. The record is from RNAcentral.
AGUGAACGCUGGCGGUAGGCCUAACACAUGCAAGUCGAACGGCAGCACAGUAAGAGCUUGCUCUUACGGGUGGCGAGUGGCGGACGGGUGAGGAAUACAUCGGAAUCUACUUUUUCGUGGGGGAUAACGUAGGGAAACUUACGCUAAUACCGCAUACGACCUACGGGUGAAAGCAGGGGAUCUUCGGACCUUGCGCGAUUGAAUGAGCCGAUGUCGGAUUAGCUAGUUGGCGGGGUAAAGGCCCACCAAGGCGACGAUCCGUAGCUGGUCUGAGAGGAUGAUCAGCCACACUGGAACUGAGACACGGUCCAGACUCCUACGGGAGUCAGCAGUGGGGAAUAUUGGACAAUGGGCGCAAGCCUGAUCCAGCCAUACCGCGUGGGUGAAGAAGGCCUUCGGGUUGUAAAGCACUUUUGUUGGGAAAGAAAAGCAGCAGGUUAAUACCCCGCUGUCAUGACGGUACCCAAAGAAUAAGCCCCGGCUAACUUCGUG